Molecule: small nucleolar RNA, 139 nt
Organism: Grammomys surdaster
Lineage: Eukaryota; Metazoa; Chordata; Mammalia; Rodentia; Muridae
Product: small nucleolar RNA SNORA48
Exons: 1
Source: RefSeq, a predicted model, not a curated record
AGCCCCGGUCAAUGAGCAAAGAGACAUCUUGGUGGUGGUGCUCUUGUCAGUCUGGGGCAGAGCAGAUGGCAGUUACAUGUUCAUCCUAGAUUGAUACCUGGCUUGGUGGACAAAACAGUUUCAUGCCUAGGACUCAUAA